AAAUUGAAGAGUUUGAUCAUGGCUCAGAUUGAACGCUGGCGGCAGGCCUAACACAUGCAAGUCGAACGGUAACAGGAAUCAGCUUGCUGAUUCGCUGACGAGUGGCGGACGGGUGAGUAAUGUCUGGGAAACUGCCUGAUGGAGGGGGGUAACUACUGGAAACGGUAGCUAAUACCGCAUAACGUCGCAAGACCAAAGAGGGGGACCUUCGGGCCUCUUGCCAUC
This 225-nucleotide ribosomal RNA is filed under the name Escherichia coli. RNAcentral's name for it is "partial 16S ribosomal RNA". It matches the Rfam family "Bacterial small subunit ribosomal RNA", at positions 1 to 222 of the family's 1533-position model. Lineage: Bacteria; Pseudomonadati; Pseudomonadota; Gammaproteobacteria; Enterobacterales; Enterobacteriaceae. The record is from RNAcentral.